Molecule: long non-coding RNA, 43453 nt
Filed under: Manihot esculenta (cassava)
Lineage: Eukaryota; Viridiplantae; Streptophyta; Magnoliopsida; Malpighiales; Euphorbiaceae
Description: long non-coding RNA (MESC_LNC009780)
Source: RNAcentral
AACUGACGCGGAACCCUAUGGCACAAGCCUCAAACCCACACGCACAAAUAGAUACGGAAUCUAAAGAUCUGAUAAACCCACCUCCUAUGGCACCCCAAACUUAGAGAAGCUGAAACACCAAUGAUCAAAGGAUUUAGAUGAGAAUCCGACAAACGCCACAACGAAUAGUUGAUAAGUUAGCCAAGAUUCCUGGUGCAAUUGAUGAAAGCAAAUCCUCACUCUCACUCAAAGCAAUACACGCCAAAGGCAUGAAAGAAAUUCUGAAAAGUUUGUUUAAAAGCUGCCUCUUACAAUUGUUUCCUAUCCUUAUAUAGUAAGGAGAAAAACAAAUAAAACCCUAAGACACUCUUCUUGGACUUGACUUAAACACAUAAGGCCCAAACUCAAUCACACACUAAAAUAACAUAUAAGUAUUAAAACAUAAGCCCAAAACAUGGCCCAACACACUAAAACUUAAAAGAUAAAGUAUGGCCAGAAUACAAGCCCAAAUAAAACUAAACUAAAACAAGUGUUGAAUAAUAAAAAUAUAGCAAGCCCAUCAUAACAAAGCUGAAUCUUCACAAAAGUCUUACUUGAUCUUCACUUUAGGCUUCCCUUUGUGUAGUUUUAGCCGAUAGGUUUGAUUAGGCUCCCUAAGCCUAUGAUUGCAAGUGUUGCACCAAAUUUGUCCCAUAUGAGUUGAAGCACGCCCCAAAUAUAUAUGGAUCAUAUGAAUGUGAUUUUGAACUCCUUUUAGAUCCAUUUGAAUGACAUAAGUUUGCUCCACACCAUUGUUAGAAAUUUGCCCUAUUGGAUCCGUAUCACAUCAUCUCCAUCUCCUUGUGGUAUUCUUCCACACUCCUUCCUCCUUGCACCAGUCUUGUCAACCUGUUGUACAAAUCCCUAUAAUAGUGGGAAGGAAUAAAUCUUUGGUGCAUCAACUCUUUCAAGUAUUCCCAAGGUAGAACUACCCUUAAGCCCUUAUUCCUCCUAGUGGAUUUCGAUUGAUCCCACCAGAAAGAGGCAUAACCCGUGAACUCAACGGCAGCAAUAUGAGACUUCUUCUCCUCAGUAUAGUUAUGACACUCAAAUAUCUGCUCAGUUUUUCUCUCCCAUUCAAUAUAUUCUUCAGCAUUGUUAUUCCCUUUAAAUUCAGGAACUUUCAUCUUUAUGGAGCUCAAGUCACCGUCAAUGGUGUUGAUUUGGUAUGUCUCGAUGUCAUCAUCAUUUCUGCCAAGUCUAGCAUCUCCACCUCUAUUCCACCGAAUGCCAGUUCUAUUACCUCCAUGAACUUCAACUCUUCCGUGUCCUUGUCCGACAUUAUCUUCUGUAUCAUCAACUUCACUGCGGACUUGAGGUUCUCGGACAUGUGGUCUAUUAGGGUUAAGAAUUCGAUGAGCCAUUCUGGUAGAAGUAGAAGCCUGUGAGACUUUCAAACUCUCCAUAGUUUCGGUCAUCUCUCAAGAGCCCUAUUGAGCCUUUGUAGCUCACCACUGACUGACUUCUUAAAGUGCUUAUAAUCAUUACCCAUGUCUGAUUCACUUUCAUCAGUAGUAUCCACCACAUUCUUGUCUUUACUCAUCCUACCUUAAAUCAACAAAGAACAAGGAGAACUAGCAAAUAUUGUGCUAGAAAAGAAAGCACUCAAGUGUUUGCACACUUACCCCUCUUUUGCUGAUUCUUCAAUUGCACUUCAGAAACUAAGGUCAACCAACUAACCACAAGGUGCGUUUAAAGAAACAAAUAAGAAAACUUAAAGAAAGAAGGAAGCGCGCAAAAAUUAGAAAGAAGAAACUGACAAUUUGGAAAGUAAUACACGAACUAGGUUUUGUGCUACUUGAAAAAUAUCACCUGGAGUAUAGACACAAGCAAACAAUAACUCCAGCAAUGUCAAGAAAACAAAAGCAAGCUUAAACCAAAAAGGAAAUUUAGAAUUCAAAUAAAAACGAACCUGGACAAAAGUUAGAAUUUAAUUCACUUCAACGUAAAUUAAAUAUGGAUCUAUUUAAAUAUGUAUCAAAACACCACAAAUAAAAUUAGAAAAAAAAAUUUUAAUUUCACUCAGUUCAAGAAAUGGGCAUAAUAUCUUUUGUCUCCUAAUCUGGAUUCAACCCAAUUCAAAAUUCAAAAUUCAAAAUUGAUUCGCAUAAAUUACAACAAUCAAUUGAGAUAGGUAAGGCAAUAUGGACGAAAAAGGAAGCAUAUCACAAUUUCGGCCUGAUCAAGAUAAAUAAGGCAAAGGCGAUUUUGAUUUCUUUUUUAAGGAUUUCGAUUUUUUUUAUGAUUAAUAAUCAAGAAGGAGCAGUAUGGACACACAAGCUUUCACCGAAAUCAACAACGAAGAAAAGAAAAACUCAAAAAUCUCUAGAUCCUAAGAUAAAUAUGAAUUUACCUCACUUUGGCUCUGAUACUAACUGACGCGGAACCCUAUGGUACAAGCCUCAAACCCACACGACACGCCAAAGGCAUGAAGAAAUUCUGAUAAUUUAGAUUCAAAGCUGCCUCUUACAGGUGUUUCUUAUCCUUAUAUAAUAAGGAGAUAAAAUAAAACCCUAAGACACUCUUUUUUGGGCUGGCCGAACCACACACAAGACUCAAGCCCAAUAACACAUCAAACACAUAAGUAUUAAAACAUAAGCUCAAAACGUGACCCAACACUCUAAAACUUAAAAGAUAAAAUAUGGACAGAAUACAAGCCCAAACAAAACUAAAAUAAAAACAAGUGUUUAAAUAAUAAAAUAUAGCAAGCCCAUCAUAAUAAUGCCAAAUAAAUUAGACAGCGCUAUCUCCAUUACACACCUUAAGCAAGGUGAGUAGCUUAGGUGUAUCUUCAAGCUUCGUGAGACAUUUGCCAAUGGCAAGCUCAGUCAAUUCUUGUGUUACUUGUUGUUGAAUGUGUAAGUUCAUAGCUGCUUCAAGUUUCUUAGCUUCGCUCCUUGUCACCGGUCCACUAGGGAGCACCAAUGGAUCCUUGAUUCUCAUCUGAUUGUGCUUGCUGGUUCGUAUGAAAGAGUGUAGUAGAGCAACCUUCUGGAAGAUAUCUUUGUCUUGUUCUUGGUCAAGUUGUGUGAUGGGGUUUUUUUCAUCAUAUGUUGAUCCUGGGUUUUGCAUCACUCCUAACUAACUAAUGUGAUUAGAAAUGAAGAUUAUGAAGCAAAGGUUGCUCUACCACACCCCUAACCAACCAAUGUGAUUAGAAACAAAUAUUAUGGAGUGAAGGUUGCUUCACUACACCGCUAAUCAAUCAAUGUGAUUAGAAACAUAGAAAAUCAUGUGAUUUCAGCUUCGAGAAUGCCACAUGAAAUUAUUAAUAAGUUAACUAAGUAUGGGGGAGAUGUAUAUUAGAAUGCCACAAGGAUGAACCUUGAUAAGCUGCUAAAUAAUGGAGAAGAACUAAAUAUUGUUCAUAACAUCAUCAUUUUUUCAUUGGCUCUAGUGGCUGCCACCUUAAAGGUAUUUUUAUAGCCUCCAAAAUCUAAUUCUGGAAGAUUCCGAUACGAUCAAGGAAAUAAUACGAUGCUUCAAAUAUUUAAAAUGGGAAACUCCAAAUCAUGACAAAUUAAGUUACCAUCGCUUAAUUCAAUGCUUACGAGAUAAGAAUUAUAUUUGGGAAGCAUGGGAGAAUAAGGAAACAAGCCACACUCUCUUCAACACAUCCGGACACACAACACAAUUUUAGAUCGCGUAAUGCAUGUAUGUCCAAAUUGUAUUUUGGCCAGUUUUAUUAUUUUGGUAUUUUAGUAUUUUGUGGGAUUUGUUUUAAAUUAAUUUGGCCUAUAUUAGAAGUCAAAUUCUUGUAACCCAUUUAGGAAGGAUAUUUCUCCAAGAUAAUUUAGGAAAAUGAUCUUUAAUGUAAUCUAGGUUUGACUAUUUAACUAGAUACCCUUCCUAUAUUGUAAUUACACCUUCCUAUAAUAGAAUUAGAGUUUAAAGGCUAUAAAAACAAUCUUAAUGUGGCAGCCUGACACGGAACCCUAUGGUACAAGCCUCAAACCCAUACACACAAGUAGAUAUGGAAUCCAAAGAUUUGAUAAACCCACCUCCUAUGGCACCCCAAACUUAGAGAAGCUGAAACACCAAUGCUCGAAGGAUUUAGAUGAGAAUCUGACAAACGCCACAACGAAUAAUUGAUAAGUUAGCCAAGAUUCCUGGUGCAAUUGAUGAAAGCAAAUCCUCACUCUCACUCAAAGCAAUACACGCUAAAGGCAUGAAAAGAAUUCUGAACUUUUGAUUAAAAGCUACCUCUUACAAUUGUUUUUUAUCCUUAUAGAGUAAGGAGAAAAACAAAUAAAACCCUAAGAAACUCUUCUUGGACCUGACUUAAACACAUAAGGCCCAAGCCCAAUCACACACUAAAAUAACACAUAAGUAUUAAAACAUAAGCCCAAAACAUGGCCCAACACUCUAAAACUUAAAAGAUAAAGUAUGGCCAGAAUACAAGCCCAAACAAAACUAAAAUAAAACAAGUGUUAAAUAAUAAAAAUAUAGCAAGCCCAUCAUAACAAAGCUGAAUCUUCACUUUAGGCUUCCCUUUGUGUAGUUUUAGCCCAUAGGUUUGAUUAGGCUCCCUAAGCCUAUGAUUGCAAGUGUUGCACCAAAUCUGUCCCAUAUGAGUUGAAGCACGCCCCAAAUAUAUAUGGAUCAUAUGAAUAUGAUUUUGAACUCCUUUUAGAUCCAUUUAAAUGAUGUAAGUUUGCUCCACACCAUUGUUAGAAAUUUGCCCUAUUGGAUCCGUAUCAUUGCCUCUUACAAUUGUUUCUUAUCCUUAUAUAGUAAGGAGAAAAACAAAUAAAACCCUAAGAUACUCUUCUUGGACCUGACUUAAACACAUAAGGCUCAAGCCCAAUCACACACUAAAAUAACACAUAAGUAUUAAAACAUAAGCCCAUAACAUGGCCCAACACUCUAAAACUUAAAAGAUAAAGUAUGGCCAGAAUACAAGCCCAAACAAAGCUAAAAUAAAACAAGUGUUAAAUAAUAAAAAUAUGGCAAGCCCAUUAUAACAAAGCUGAAUCUUCACAAACGCCUUACUUGAUCUUCACUUUAGGCUUCCCUUUGUGUAGUGACGCGGAACCCUAUGGCACAAGCCUCAAACCCAUACGCACAAGUAGAUAUGGAAUCCAAAGAUUUGAUAAACCCACCUCCUAUGGCACCCCACACUUAGAAAAGCUGAAACACCAAUGAUCGAAGGAUUUAGAUGAGAAUCCGACAAACGCCACAACGAAUAGUUGAUAAGUAAGCCAAGAUUCCUAGUGCAAUUGAUGAAAACAAAUCCUCACUUUCACUCAAAGCAAUACACGCCAAAGGCAUGAAUAGAAUUCUAAAAUUUUGAUUAAAAGCUCCUCUUACAAUUGUUUCUUAUGUAAAGAGAAAAACAAAUAAAACCCUAAGACAUUCUUCUUGGGUCUGACUUAAACACCUAAGGCUCAAGCCCAAUCACACACUAAAAUAACGCAUAAGUAUUAAAACAUAAGCCCAAAACAUGGCCCAACACUCUAAAACUUAAAAGAUAAAAUAUGGGCAGAAUACAAGCCCAAACAAAGCUAAAAUAAAACAAGUGUUAAAUCAUAAAAAUAUAGCAAGCCCAUCAUAUCAAUGCUGAAUAAAUUAGACAGCACUAUCUCCAUUACACACCUUAAGUAAGGUGAGUAGCUUAGGUGUGUCUUCAAGCAUCACGAGACAUUUGCCAAAGGCAAGCUCAGUCAAUUUUUGUGUUACUUGUUCUUGAAUGUGUAAGUUCAUAGCUGCUUCAAGCUUCUUAGCUUUGCUCUUUGUCACUGGUCCACUAGGGAGCACCAAUGGAUCCUUGCUUCCUUGAUUCUCAUGUGAUUGGGUUUGCUGGUUCGUAUCAUAUAGUUUUAGCCCAUAGGUUUGAUUAGGCUCCCUAAGCCUAUGAUUGCAAGUGUUGCACCAAAUCUGUCCCAUAUGAGUUGAAGCACGCUCCAAAUAUAUAUGAAUCAUAUGAAUAUGAUUUUGAACUCCUUUUAGAUCCAUUUGAAUGACAUAAGUUUGCUCCACACCAUUGUUAGAAAUUUGCCCUAUUGGAUCAAGAAGCUAAUGAAUAAAGAUGAUGUUUUAAAUAAAAUUUUGGUUCUUCUCCACUAUUUGACAACUUAUCAAGGUUUAGCCUUAUGGCGUUCUAAUAUGAAUCUUCUCCAUACUCAGUUAACUUAUCAAGAAUUUCUUGUGGCAUUUUCAAAACUGGAAUCGCUUGAUUAUCUAUGUUUGUAAUAACAUUGGUUGGUUAAGGGUGUGGUAGAGCAAGCUGCACUCCAUUAUCUAUGUUUCUAAUCAUAUUCGUUGGUUAGGGGUGUAGUAGAGCAACCUUUCAGAACAUAUCUUUGCUUUCUUUUUUAUCAAGUUGUGUGACACGGUUUUUGAUCUUAUGUUGAUCUUGGAUUCCACAUCAGUUGAUAAUACGAUUAAGGAAAUAAUUCGUUGCUUCAAAGAUUUAAAAUGAAAAACUCCAAAUCAUGACAAAUCAAGUUAUCAUCGCUUAAUUCAAGGCUUAUGAGAUGAGAAUUAUAUUUGGGAAGUAUGGGAGAAUAAGAAAUCAAGCCACACUCUCUUCAACACAUGUGGACACACAACACAAUUUUAGAUCGCGUAAUGCAUGUAUGGCCAAAUUGCAUUUAGGCCAGUUUUAUUAUUUUGGUGUUUUAGUAUUUUGUAGGAUUUAUUUUAAAUUAAUUUGGCGUAUAUUAGAAGCCAAAUUCGUGUAGCCCAUUUAGGAUGAAAAUUUCUCUAAGAUAGUUUAGAAAAAUGAUCUUUAAUGUAAUACAGGUUUGACUAUUUGACUAUAUAUCCUUCCAAUAUUGUAAUUACACCUUCUUACAAUAGAAUUAGAGUUUGAAGACUAUAAAAAUAUCCUUAAGAUGGCAGUCACAAAAAGCCAGUGAAUAAAAGAUAGCGUUAUGAACAAUAUUUAGUUCUUCUCCAUUAUUUAGCAACUUAUUAAGGUUUAACCUUGUGGCGUUCUAAUAUGGAUCUUCUCCAUGCUUAAUUAACUUAUCAAGAAUUUCUUGUAGCGUUCUCGAAACUGGAAUCACUUGAUUAUCUAUAUUUCUAAUCACAUUGGUUGGUUAGGGAUGUAGUGGAGCAACCUUCAUUUGAUUAUCUAUGUUUCUAAUCACAUUCGUUGUUUAGGAGUAUAGUAUAGCAAUCUUUUGGAAUAUAUCUUUGCUUUGUUCUUUAUCAAGUUGUGUGUUUUUUAUCAUAUAUUGAUUCUGGGUUUCGCAUCAGUUGGUAUCAGAGCGCAGUGAUAGAUUAAUUUCUAUUUAUCUAUAUUUCUUUGUUUCAUAAGUUUUUUUUAUUCUUUUCAGUCUGUCUUAUUGUUUUUUUAUUUUAGUUUAUCUUAUAGUUUCUCUAAAAAAAAAAGGAAAAAAUUUCAGUUAUAUUUAUAUAAAAAAAAGAAAAAAUUUUUUUAUUUCAGUAGUGUGAGUUUUUCUUUUUUUAAAAGUGAGAUAAUUAAAAAAAAGAGUGAAGAAAAAAAAAUCAUUUCAGUUGUUUGAUUUAAAAAAAAAAAGGAAAAAGAUGAGAGAUAUUGGUAGAGCAUAUUUUAGCCCAUUUUAUCAUGAUAUUAUUAAUGUUAUUUUACACCAUUUCUACCUAAUUUUGUGGUUUUAAUAAUAUUUUGCAGAUAUUAGGUGUAAAGAGACAAUCUGGUAAAAAUGCUCUUAAAACUGCCAAAAAAUGCCAAAUAUCGAAAAUGCCAAAAAAUGAAAGUUUUCAAAUAAGGAAAGUUUUCAAGAAAUGAAAGUUUUCAAAUAAGGAAAGUGCAGAAGCAAAAGCAAAUAAGGAAAGUUCAGUCAGAAGAUUAUUUGAAAUUCAAAUCGCAGAUCUUUCUUUUCUUGUUCAAAGAUGUGCACACACUGCAGCAGUCAGAUCUUCCUAUUUAGGCAGCUAUAUUUCAAGAAGACGCACUUGCCUUUUCUGCAUUCAGCAUUCAAAAUUCAAACGAAGGCUCCAUCUAAAAAGGAAAGACUGUACAUAAUAUCUUUCCCUUCUGCACAUCCAUCCGCGCGCACACCUUCCUUUUGAAGAGCCUUCCGCGCGCCACCUUCCUUCUGAAGAGCUUGCAACGCAAUUCUUUCCUUUUCAGAUACAACUUGGGCAGCAAGCACCUCUUGGGCAGCAACUUGGGCAGCAAGGAGACCUAGGACAACACUUUGAACUAUAAAAAGACACAUAAGGAGCCUCCCCAUACCUUUUCAACUCCCCCUUGGACACACCUACGGGAUUGCAAUUGGCACCAUCUCUUCUUCUUUCUUUCUUUUAUUUUCUGUUUUGUUUCAGCCAUGAGUGGCUGAAACCUUUUAUUCUAGUUGAAGAUUAGGUGAUACUUUGGUUGUUUUAUGGAUUGGGAGACUUGAUCAUAUAUUGUUCAUCUUUUGGUUAUUCAAUAUUUGUGCAAUUUCAUGCUUGAUUCCAUUAUUACUUUGUUAUUUUGAUCAAUGUGGCCAGUUGAUUCUUGAUUGCAAGGUAAUAUAUUGUUAGUUUGAAUAAUUUUGAGUCCGUAAUUGCUUGAAUUAUUCAAACACAAGAACACUUAGUGUAAAAAACUAAGGAAAUUGUAUGAUCUAGCAACAUCUCAUGCGUUUGGGUAGCUAGGAUUGGCUCUCUCUAUUUCUUAAUGCAAUUGACAGUUGUUUUGAUGCCUAAGCCCCAAUAAUGUUCCUUGGCAACUUGUUGAUUAGUGAUUAAUUAGAGGACGUUCCCUAAUUGGUUUAUGACUAAGGAGAGACAUGGUGGUGAGAAGCGUUUUCCAUCUCUAUAACUAAUCUAUUGAAUCAAUCAAAAGAACAUAAGUUUCAAUGAUCAAUCCCAACAACUGAAGUGGAUCCAAUUGUUUAACUAGAACUUUCUCAUUAUUGAUUUCUUUUAUUUUAAUUAUUUGCCUUAUUUUAUUGCUUUCAGUCUUAGUUCAAUUAAAUCAAUCUCAAAACCCUCCAUUUUACUUUCAGUUUAUUUGCUUUCAGUUUAUCUCGUUUCAGUUUACUUCUCUUUCAGUUUAUUUUUAUUUCAGUUAAUUCUCUUGGUCUUGAUAAGAAAAAUAGGUAAGUUUUCAAUUCUCUGUGGAUUCGAUCAUUUACCACUAUCACAGUAGUAAUAUUGUUGAUAACCGAAAAGAUUAUUUUUGACCAGUUUCGACAACCGCGAGUCAGAUAUCAAAAUUUAAUACUUUAUUCGCGAAAUGUCAUACAGAAUUCAAAGAGGAUCCCAUGUAUAUCGAUUCUUUUCUUGUCAUUAUGGUUGAAGAUUCAAUGACGAAUCUUUUCGAAGGAGAGAAUGAUACGAUCAAGGAAAUAAUACACUACUUCAAAGAUUUAAAAUGGAAAACUCCAAAUCAUGACAAAUCAAGUUACCAUUGCUUAAUUUAAGGCCUACGAAAUGAUAAUUAUAUUUGGAAAGCAUGGGAGAAUAAGGAAACAAGCCACGCUCUCUUUAGUACAUGUGGACACACAACACAAUUUUAGAUCGCAUAAUGUAUGUGAUACGGAUCUAAUAGGGUAAAUUUCUAACAAUGGUGUGGAGCAAACUUAUGCCAUUCAAAUGGAUCUAAAAGGAGUUCAAAAUCAUAUUCAUAUGAUCCAUAUAUAUUUGGGGCGUGCUUCAACUCAUAUGGGACAAAUUUGGUGCAACACUUGCAAUCAUAGGCUUAGAGAGCCUAAUCAAACCUAUGGGCUAAAACUACACAAAGGGAAGCCUAAAGUGAAGAUCAAGUAAGGUUUUUGUGAAGAUUCAGCUUUGUUAUGAUGGGCUUGCUAUGUUUUAUUAUUUGAACACUUAUUUUAUUUUAGCUUUGUUUGGGCUUGUAUUCUGACCAUAUUUUAUCUUUUAAGUUUUAGAGUGUUGGGCCAUGUUUUGGGCUUAUGUUUUAAUACUUAUGUGUUAUUUUAGUGUGUGAUUGGGCUUGGGCCUUAUGUGUUUAAGUCAGGCCCAAGAAGAGUAUCUUAGGGUUUUAUUUGUUUUUCUCCUUACUAUAUAAGGAUAAGAAACAAUUGUAAGAGGUAGCUUUGAAUCAAAUUAUCAGAAUUAUUUUCAUGCCUUUGGCGUGUAUUGCUUUGAGUGAGAGUGAGGAUUUGCUUUCAUCAAUUGCACCAUGAAUCUCGAUUAACUUAUCAACUAUUUGUUGUGGCGUUUGUCAGAUUCUCAUCUAAAUCCUUCGAUCAUUGGUGUUUCAGCUUCUCUAAGUGUGGGGUGCCAUGGGAGGUGGGUUUAUCAGAUCUUUGGAUUCCAUAUCUACUUGUGCGUGUGGGUUUGAGGCUUGUGCCAUAGGGUUCCGCGUCAGUAUGUAUGGCCAAAUUGCAUUUAGGUCAAUUUUGUUAUUUUGGUAUUUUAGUAUUUUGUGGGAUUUGUUUUAAAUUAAUUUGGCCUAUAUUAGAAGCCAAAUUUGUGCAGCCCAUUUAGGAAAGAGAUUUCUCCAAGAUAAUUUAGGAAAAUGAUCUUUAAUGCAAUCUAGGUUUGACUAUUUGACUAGAUGCACUUUCUAUAUUGUAAUUACACAUUCCUACAAUAGAAUUAGGGUUUGGAGGCUAUAAAAACAUACUUAAGGUGGCAGCCAUAAUAAGCUAAUGAAUAAAGAUGAUUUUAUGAACAAUAUUUGGUUCUUCUCCAUUAUUUAGCAACUUAUCAAAGUUUAAACUUGUGGUGUUCUAAUAUGGAUAUCCUCUAUGCUUAGCUAACUUAUUAAGAAUUUCUUGUAGUGUUCUCAAAGCUGGAAUCGCUUGAUUAUUUAUGUUUCUAAUCACAUUAGUUAGUUAGGGGCGUAGUAGAGCAACCUUCACUCCAUUAUCUAUGUUUCUAAUCACAUUGGUUGGUUAGGAGUGUCGUAGAGCAACCUUCGCUCCAUUAUCUAUGUUUCUAAUCACAUUCAUUGGUUAGGAGUGUAGUAGAGUAACCUUCUGAAAGAUAUCUUUCUCUUGUUCUUUGUCAAGUUGUGUGACAGGAUUUUUUAUCACAUGUUGAUCCUGGGUUCCGCAUCACACCUCUUAUGACACCCCACACUUAAAGAAGUUGAAACACCAAUGAUAGAAGAAUUUAGAUGAGAAUAUAAUAAACGCGACAACAAAUAGUUGAUAAGUUAGCCAAGAUUCUUGAUGCAAUUAAUGAAAGCAAAUAUUUACUCUCACUCAAAGCAACACACGCCAAAGGAAGGAGAAAUCAAAUAAAACUCUAAGACACUCUUCUUAGGUCUAGCCAAACCACAUACAAAGCUAAGCUCAAUCACACACUAAAAACUCAUAAGUAUUUAAACAUAAGCCCAAGAUAUGGCCUAACACUCUAAAACUUAAAAGAUAAAAUAUGCCUAGAAUACAAGCCAAAAUAAAAUAAGUGUUAAAUAAUAAAACACAGUAAGCUCAUCAUAACAAUACUGAAUAAAUUAGACAGCGCCAUCUCCAUUACACACCUCAAGCAAGGUGAGUAGUUUAGGUGUGUCUUUAAGCUCCUGGAGACAUCUGCCAAUGGCAAGCUUAGUCAAUUCUUGUGUUACUUGUUCUUGAAUGUGUAAGUUCAUAGCUGCUUCAAGCUCUUUAGCUUUGCUCCUUGUCACUGGUCCACUAGGAAGUACCAAUGGAUCAUUGCUCCCUUAAUUCUCAUGUAAUUGUGCAUGCUGUUUCAUAUCACUUUGCUCCUUUUUUCUUACCUUUCAUGCUUGUGCUCACAUCAUUAACUCCUAUUGAAGUUUAUGAAGACCAACUCAAGAUGAUAAAACUUCAAUCUUGGAUUUCGAGAUAUGGGGAGAAAAGAAAAAAGAGUAAAGAGGUCGUGAUCGAAAAAAAUAAAUAAAAAGGUUUAAAAGUGAGUAAUUGUACAAAAAAAAGAAUUGAGUACAAAAGAGAGUACUCUAGAGAGUGAAAAUAAGGCGAGUUUCUUUGCAAAAGAAAGAGAGUUGAAGAGAGUUUAUGUUGGUUAUAAAUCACUAGUAUUAAUUAUGAUGCAGAAUUCAUGAUCAACUCGUGAUCAAGAACCUCAAACACACACUUGACAAAGAAUGAUGUAAAGAUAACUUCCGUGAGAUUACUCUACCACAUCCCUAAUUAACCAAUGUGAUUAGAAACGAUGGUAAUUAAACGAUUUCAGAUAGAGAACAUCACUGGAAAUUCUUGAUAAAUUAACUAAGUAUGGAGGAAAUCGAUAUUAAAAUGCCAUAAGGUUGAACCUUACAAAUUUCUAAACAUGAAGAAAAACCAAAGUUCUAAAAAUAAAUUCUCAUGGAGAAAAAUAUUAAAUCUUUACUUAAUUUUGAUUAUUAUGCUUUAUUAUAUUUAUUUAGAAUAAAAAUAUAUUGUUAAUUUAUAUUUUUUAUUUUAAAAAUUUUAAUAACCUAAUAAUAUGUAAUAUUAUAUAAUACUUGUAAAAAAUAAAACGAGUAGAUUAAUAUGCAUGGCACGUUAAUGAAAAAACUAGUAUAUAAAAGUGGAAAAGAGGGGAAAUUGGUAUUUCUAAAAAUACCCUGUUACUUAUAAGAAUUACAAUUUUUUAUUUUUAUUUAAAAAUUUUUACUUUAAUUAUAUAAUUAUGUUAGUAUUUUAUUUAACUAAAAUUGUUAAAAAUAAUAUUAAAAAAUUAACUAAAAUAAAAAAAUGUAUCUAAAAAAUCAUAAAUUUUUUUUAGUGAUGUAUAUUUGAAGUUGUUGCUAAUAAUAAAGGUAGUGACAAUAAUGUGUCGCUAAAACAUUGAUAAAUAAAAUUUUUUUAUUGCUAUAAGUAAAUUAUAUUUUAAAAUAUUUAAUGAUAAAAUUCCUGUUGCUAAUUUUUAGAGAUUAACAAUGAUUUCUUAAAUCAAUAAUUUUAAUUGGUUAAAAUGAAUUUUAUUUAUGAUUUCUUAUUAUACUAAAAUUUUAUCAUUUUUAUGGGUACGUCCAUAGUUGAUAUCAUAAUUAUAUUAUAGUAUUAUAAUUCUUCUCAAACUCUAAUUUUUAAUUAUUCAAAUUUUGUAGUCUUUAAAAUUAGAUUUUUUUUUCAAUAUUUUAUUAAAGAUUUUUUAAUACUUUUUAUUAGAAAUUGCUUUAUAACGUUAAUCCGUAUAUUAUUAUGAUUUUUUUAAAAAAAAAAAAUUGAUAAGGAAGAAAAAAAGAGAUUAUAGAGUUUGUUAUUGGAGUUUGGCUUUUAGAGUGAAGCAAACUUCAUACAAAAUUUGAAAUUAUCUUUUUUAUUCUGUUACUAAAAAAUCACUUAAACAUCUCACAUGAUUUAGUUCACAUAAUUUUUAUAUUUAAAUUGAAAUUACACUUAAUUUAUUUUAAUUUAACAAUUAUGCUUUAUUAAACUUUUAAUAACAUAAUAAUAUGUAAUAUUACAUAAUAUUAUAAAUAAAAAAUAAAGAGUAUAAUAUUAUGCAUUGCACACUAAUAAAAAAAAUUAGUAACUGAAAAACAUGCUAAUAAGAUUAGAAAGAUAAGCUUACUCUAAAAAAAAAAGUAAAGUUGGCCUAAAAUAUAUAAAUAAUAUAUUAAUUCAUUUAUAAAUAAGUCCUAUGAAUUGGCGAUGGUAAUCCCACAUAAGAAAAUUGUAAAAAUCGAAUUUUUUUUAAAUAAAUAUUUUUUAACAUUUGCAGUCCUUAGUAAAUUAACAUAAAAAAUAUUUUUUUUAAAAAAAAAUUAAGACAUUUAAAUCUUUUUUUAAAAAAAAGAAAAGUCUGUUUUUACCCUUUACAUAUAAAUUUAUUAAAUUAAAAUUAAAUAAUAGAAAGACAAAUUAUUUUUUAAAACAUACUUUUCAAACGCCAUAAAAAUUUUCCUUCAAGCAAAAUACCAAUCGCUUUCGUGUAGCUGUGGGUCUUCGGCCUUCCUUCAGACAAAAAUAAAGAGAAAAAAGGAUUGAAAGGGCUUGAUCAAAAUUCUUCUUCCAUUUCCUUUUUCCUUCACUCCCUCCUACCUUCUCCUCAACGCGAUUCGUGUAAUUUCAGGAGGAAGGUCGUGUCUCAUAAUAUAUUGAUCUGAUCUUAACUGAUAUUCGCGCUCAUGGCCACCGCCGGAAACAAGAACAUCAAUGCUAAAUUGGUGAGUUUCUGCUUAAUUUUUCGUUUUUGUUUUGAGGUGUUUAUAUGCUUUUACGCGUUAUUAUGAUGAACAAUCUUUUAGUUGUAUUAUUACGGAGUUCUGAUGUUGGUUUUGCGUCCUUUUGUACAAUUUGAUCUCAACCUAUGUUUUUGUUCAAAUCCAGAUUGGUUUUUCUUGUUAAGUUUUUUUAAUUAUCACCUAUUCUUUUUUUUUUUUUGGUAUAUAAAUUAUUUCAAUUCUUAUAUAUGUUUUCAAUUUCCAUUACUAUUACUUGGUUUGUCUUCAAAAGGAUAUAUUUUACUGAUGGUGCUAAUAUUGGUAUUCAUUUUCUGGGAUUAUAUAUGUUUUUACUAUUUAUUAUGUAAAUUCUGGAGUGGAUUUACAUUAACUUUUAGGGGUAUUAUAUGAAUUGUGCAUAAGAAAAUAAAUGAAAGUGUAGGAAAUUUCUAUGUUUGGAAGUUUGAAGGAUAAGAACAGAGUUGAAGUGUUAAGAGCAUAAUAGUGAUGUUCAAACAAUAAUCAGGAGGGUUACUCUUUAUCUCUUAAAUUUGAUGGGAAGGUAAAGUCAGGUUUGAGGAAGAGAUUUAUCCUUGUCCUUUCUUUUCUCACAUAAAACUCCCAAACAAAGGAUACCCAUUUUCCAAACUAAGUGUGAAUGUCUUAGGGCAACUCAACUCAGUUGAACUAGGUCUUAAAGCUAAAUUACGUAUGGAAUCUUCAAACUUCUUUUGCAUAUUUAUGAGUGGCCGUAUCUUAAGGAUGAAUGAAAUCGGGUGCUUAAAAUGGAUGACAAAGCAGCUGUCUGCAAUUUUUCCCUUUACCCACCAAUAGAUUGCUUCUUCAAGUUCUGGUACUUGAUUAUUUCUUUUCAAAUGCCAUUAUUUUGAUUAUUGUAUGGUAUUGUCUUGUCUAACGAGAAAUUACAUAAUUUCAUAUUCGUUAUUUACUCUUAUGAAGAUUGUGGUUUGUAUCCUAGCAUCAGAUCAUCUUAAGGAUAGCAUUUAGAUUUUCCUUUUCUCUUUCUUCUUUCUUUCUCUUUCCAUUCAUUUUGAAUUUGAGAAUGGUGUUGAAGGGUCUCUUUGUAUGUUUUACUCUUUUUGGGACGUUUGUUUGUUCCAAAAGCACCAAAAAGCAGGUCUUAAUUUGCUGGAAAGCUGGCUGUAAGCAUGAUCAUUUCUUUUUACAGCAUCUUGUUGGAAAUACAUCCUUUAAUCUUUCCAUUUACCUCUAUUAGUACAUUGUGGGCACUGCCACUGUCAUUUUUUAAGUUGUUUUAAAGAGGUCCUUGAUUUGUCAGCGGCUAGACAUGAUAAAUAAAGGCCCUCAAGUUGAUUACACUGUGGAUUUGCAAAAUCUGUGUUUCCAUUGAAAACGAUGAUGAAAAAAGAAGAGGGAAGCAGAAGCUUUGAGAGAAAAAUGCUUGAUGAUUCCCCUUAAGCCAAUUGGGGUAUAUAUUCUACUUAUAAGAAUACAUACUUGUAAUACACAUUAGGUAAGUAAAUAAAUUGAUUCCCUAUUAUAGCCUAAUCAUAUCCCAAUUAUAUCACACAAUCAUAUCCGUAAUUAUAUAUACAAUCACUACAAAUCUAGGCUAUUUACAGAAAGUAUCUCAACACUCCCUCUCAUGCUGGAGCGUACAUGUCGUAUGCUCCAAACUUGUUACAAAUAUCAUAUGCUCCAAACUUGUUACAAAUAUACUCGAUUCGUGAACCCUGAAGAGAUUUUGUGAAACCAUCAGCUAGUUAAUCAUUUGAGUUGACAAAGCUAGUAGAAAUGCAUUCCGACUCAAUCUUUUGCCUAAUAAAAUGGCAAUCCACCUCUAUAUGCUUCAUUCUCUCAUGAAAAAUUGGAUUUAAUACAAUAUGGAGAGCAGCUUGAUUAUCACAUAUCAGUUUCAUUUGGCUUGUAUCGUUAUAUUUCAAUUCUUGAAGGAGUUGCUUCAACCAAAUGAGUUCGUAUGUUGCCAAAGCUAUAGCUCGAUUUUCUACUUCUGCACUUGAUCUUGCAACUACACCCUAUUUUUUACUUUUCCCGGAUAUAAGAUUUCCUCCAAUCAUAAUACAAUAUCCUGAAAUAGAUCAUCUAUCUGAAGGAGAAUCUGCUCAAUCUGUAUCAGAAUAGCCAAUAAUUUGUGAGUGACCCUUGUCCUCAUAGAUUAGACCCUGUCAUGGAGCCCCUUUGAUAUAUCUAAGAAUGCGAAUGACUGCAUUCCAGUGACUACUGUAUGGAGUUCGAAGAAAUUGACUAACCACACCUUACAGCAAAGGAAAUAUAUGGUCGAGUGAUUGUGAGAUAAUUGAGCUUGCCGACUAAUCUUUUGUAUCUAGCAGGAUUUUUAAGUGGCUCCCACUGUUCAGGAACCAAUUUGACAUUUGGAUCCAUAGGAGUGUCCAUAUGUCUAUAGUCUAACAUGUCUGUUUCUUCUAAUAUAUCCAAAGUAUAUUUUGGUUGAGAACUUGUAAUACCUGUUUUAGACUGUGCCACUUCAAUCCCCAGGAAAUACUUCAAUUUUUCUAGGUCUUUAGUUUGGAAAUGACUGAACAAAUAUUGCUUAAGCUGAGAGAUUCUAUCAUGAUCAUUUCUUGUAAUGACAAUAUCAUCAACAUAGACCACUAAGUAGAUGCAUCUAUCGUUAUUAUGACGAAAAAAUACGGAAUGAUCAGAAUUACUUCGAGACAUUCCAAACUGUUGAACUACAGUGCUCAAUCGUCUAAACCAUGCUCUUGGAGACUGUUUUAGACCAUACAAGGAGCAUCGAAGACAACAUAUUAAGUCUGAUUCCCCUGAGCAACAAACUCUGGAGGUUGCUCCAUAUAGACUUUUUCAGUGAGCUCACCACGAAGAAAGGCAUUUUUAAUGUCCAGAUGAUGAAGGGCCUAAUGAUUAAUGAGAUAAAGAGGCGAACAAAAACUAUUUUGGUUACUGGAGAGAAAGUAUCACUGUAAUCAAAUCCAAAAAUCUGUGUGUAACUUUAGCUACAAGGCGAGCUUUAAGACGAUCAAUUUUUCUAUCAGGUCCCACCUUAACUAUGUAAACCCAGCAACAACUAAUAGUAGACUUGCCAGGUGGUAAAGAUACGAGUUCCCAAGUUCCAUUAUUAUGAAGAGCAGUCAUCUAUUCCACCAUUGCAUUACACCAACCGAGAUGAUCCAAUGCUUCUCUAACUGUCUUGGGAAUAGAAACAGUUGACACGGUGGAAAUAAAAGUAUAAUAGGAAGGAGACAAACGAUAGUAACUCACAAAAUUAUAAAUGAGAUAAGGAUUCAAGAAGAGCGAAUACCUUUUUGGAGAGCAAAAGGAGUAGCUGCUGCUACUGAAAGCAUGACCGAAGUAGGUGAUGAUGAAACUGGAGGUGAGUCAUUAGAAGUACCUGCAUCAGGGAGGGAGGUAUCAUUGUUAUUAGCAGAUGGGUCAGGCCGAUGUGUGUAGACUUGAAGAGGUGUAGGAGUGGGAGAUGGAACUAUGGAGAGCAGCAACAUGAAUUUAUAAAUGGAACUAUGGAGAGCAGCAACAUGAAUUUUUUUAAAAAAAGCAAUUGGCAGCAUUCCAGCACCAUUCUGGCCAUGGGAGAGAAGUGGAAAAGGAGAAAGAGAAGGGGAAAAGGAGAAAGUGAAGAGGAAAAGGAGAAAGAGAAGGCAGAAUGAGAAGAUAAUAAAAAAAUAGAAAAGAAAGGAGAAUAAUAAACUCAAAAGAAAAAGAAGAAAAAUUAUUUAUUUGGUAUUUGUUGAUCAUUGAUUCUUGAAAAUUUUGAUCUUUUCUUCAUCUUCUUCUUUGAUUUUUCUUCCUCUUUUCCUUUUCUUUUUUGCUCUUUUUCUUUCUCUUGCCUCUGCUACUUUAGAUACUCUUUGCUGGAGAUUUGUGUGUAAUCUUUGUUUCAGCAAGUAUUUAAUACUUUCAUAAUUAGUUUUGAUGAAGAACUAACCUUGCUUCAAAUAGCGCCUCCAUUUGUUGACAACAAAUGUGAUUGCUAACAAGUUUUUUUCAUAAAAUGACGUGGCCUUGCUUCUAGGUCCAAAGACUUUAGAGAUGAAGGCUUUUGUGAAUCUGGCUUUAGCAUUCUGAUAAGUAAGGAAUAAAGAAGUAUUGGAUUAGUUUAUGCAAUCAGUUGUAAUUGUAGCUUUUAGUAGUGGCACCCAAAGUAGUAUAAAUAGUAACUUGUAAGCAAUUAAAAAUAAACUCUUUGUCUCUAUUUUUUCUCUCUCCUCUUCUCUAAUUCUCUCUAUUACUUCUCUCAUUUUUAUUUCUUUUCUCAAACCAAUCUACUUCUCUCUCUCACUCUCUCUCCCUAUUUCUCUGUUUCAAAGGGAAUUACAAGUUUGUAACAUAACAAUUGGUAUUAGAGCCGUUAGAUUAGUGGGCAACUACAGGAAAUUGUUUCAGGGGAGUUGCAUCUAUGGCAGAUCAGUGGUAGUCUUCCCAAAUACCAAGUUAUUUUUGUUAUUUUCUCUUCCUCUCUUCUUUCCUCCUUUUCUGAGAUUUCUUCCUUCUUUCUUACUUUUCUGAUCUACACUCUUCCUCCCUUCUUCCAUCUCUCCUUUAUUCACAUUCUUUUCUUGGAAUUCUUCUUCUUCCCACUUUCUUGAUUUUCCCUGAAAAUUUCCUCCUCGAGUUUCCAUUUUACUUCCUGAAAAUCAGAUUACUCUUUCUUGAUUUUCUUUGUUUUCUUGAAAUUCUUGAAUCAUGGAAGUGCAGUAUUUGACACAAAUUUUUCUUGAGUUCAAGAAAUUCUAGAUAGAAGAUUGGAAGAACAAAAGAAAUUCUAGAUAGAAGAUUGGAAGAACAAAAGGAGCAGUUGGAACAGAAAUUCGAAAAAGUGAUUCAGAAAAUAGGAAGUUUAGAUGAGAAAAUGGAAAGAUUUGAGUAAUCAAUUCAAGUGACGGGAAAAAAUUGCAGUCUUGAUGAAUGAAGUUCAAAUUUUUUAGAAGCCUAGUGAAGAGCAAGAUGUCUCAUGUCAAACUUCUAAUAAGAAAGACAAAGCUAUUGAGGAGGAGCAGGAGCUUUUUGUUGACAUGUCUAUUGUAAGUGAGAUCAAUGAGGAGAAGAAUGAUGAAGAUGUUGAUGAUGGGCAACUAGAGUCUGAAAUGAGGACAAUAUUAGUUGAAUAUGAAAUGUUAGCACAAUUCAGUCCCAAAACUGAGAUUUUUGCUACUGAAAUAUUGGAAAUGUUCUUGGAGAAAAGAAAGAUAAAGGUGUUACAAAAGGUGUGGGUGUUGGAAACAUGUGGCAUAGUUUUUGGAGCCAAGAUGAUGAGUACAGCGGUUGCCAUCCUGGGAUGCUUAUGGAAGAUAAAUGGGAAAUAGAAAGAAGAGAAAGGAAGAAGGUUAUGACAUCAAAUUUUCUUCAAGGAGCAAGCAUGGGAAAUUUGGAGAAGGAAAAGGAAGAAAGUUUAGCAUCUCCAGCCAAACUUUAUGGGUCAUUUCAGCUGAAGAAGAAAAAGGGAAAAAAAAAAAUUCCUUGUCAAUAAGAGUUCAUAAAAACACCCACAACUUUAGCCCAACUUUCUAGAACAUUUCAGCUGAAGCACAUGUUGGAAGUUAACAUUUGGGGUUCUAAAUUCAGGGGAUUAACUGACUAGCAAAAGCCACUGUGUGGGACUUUCACAUCCUUCUGACCAAGUCUGAGGAAAGUAACAACAGAAACUCAUUUCAGUUUUCAGCAUUUUCUUCAUUCUUGAGGACAAGAAUGAUUUCAAGGGGUGGGGAAUGUUAUGAGUAAGGAAUAAAGAAGUAUUGGAUUAGUCUUUGUAGUCAGUUGUAAUGGUAGAAAGUAGUUGUGGCGCCCAAAGUAGUAUAAAUAGGAACUUACUUGUAAAGAUAAAGAUGUCCAUGAUCAUUAGAAAUCAAAGAUAAACUCUUUCUCUCUAUUUUUUUCUCUCCUCUUCUCUAAUUCUCUCUAUUACUUCUCCCAUUUCUAUUUCUUUUCUCAACCCAAUCUACUUCUCUCUCUUUCUUCUCCUAUUUCUCUGUUUCAAAUGGAAUUACAAGUCUGUCAGACUGUCACAUAACACAUUCUUACCAUCAAUCUAAUUUCAUCCUUCAAUCCUCCUACAAAACUGGAUAAGAAAUAACCCUCCUUCAAUUUGGGUAUAUGUCUCUCCAUUCUCACGCUUAGUUCCUUAAAUGCAAUAUUCCUCCACAGUCCACAGUCCCUUCUUACCUUAACCUAUUGAAUUCUUCUAUAACCUCUUCUAAACCCUGUUCUCCGAAUCCAUUACAGAUUGCUCUUUCAAAUUCUUCCCAAGAAUGACCUUCCCCCUUAUUCCAAUCAUGAAACCAAGCAUCAGCCUUGUCCAUCAGUAAUCGACAGGCUACAUUAAUUUUUUGAUCAUUAGGAAUCUUGUAAAUCUCAAACUACUUCACAUAUUUUCUUAGCCAUGCUCUGGGUUCUUCACCAAUGAAAUUAUACAAUUCAAGUUUGGGUAAAAGGGAUUGCAUACCUUCUGUGAUCAACAUAAUGUUUGGGUUAGGUACGAGACCUCUGUUAUCCCUUGAAUUAGUUUGGAGAUUAACACGAUUUCCCGCUGAUAGGGGACUCUGUUGUCCUCGUGAUUGACUUAGGGAUUUCCAGGAUUUCCCGCUACUGGCUUCUUUGUUCUUCUUCUUGGCUAAUUUCUCAGCCAUCAUCUUCACCAUGUAGGAUCGCAAUUCUUCCAAGAUCAUAUUGUUCUCUUUAUUGGUCUUUCUUACUUCUUCCUUGAAAUCUUUCAAUUCUUCACCAUUUUUCUAUGUUGCCUCCUGCAAGUUUCGCAAUUGUUCUUCCAUUUUGGCAAUUCUCACCAUUUCUUGACUUACUAUAAGGGAUCUGGUCAUUUUGCCCUAGAAAAGAUUCUUCCACUGCCGUCGGAAAGCAAGCCCUAAUACCAAUUGUUAGGUUUCGUCCUAACAGUACCGAACUUUAUGAGAGUUAGAGUAGAAAUUAGAAGUAGAGGAAGGGAGUUGAGGGAAAGAGAGAAGAAAAAGGAUGCGGGAAGAGAGUGUGGAAGGAUAAUAUUUGUUGUAUAUAACAAUAGAGAUUACAAUCUAUUUAUACAUGAGAGUCGGUAUCUAAACAGGAAGGAAAACUAAGCCUAUGAUUAUACAAUCCCUAAGAUUAAGCAACUGACCCAUCUAUCAAUAUUUACUUCCUAUAUUAACAUAUUUACUUUCUAUAACCUAUAACACUCCCCUCAAGUUGGAGCAUAAAUGUUAAUUAUGCCCAACUUGUUACAUAUAUAAUCAACUCGAGUCCCAUUUAGAGCUUUAAUGAAGAUAUCUCCUAAUUGUUCUUCAGUUCGGAUAUGUCCUGUUGAUAUUAUCUUUUGUUGGACUUUUUCACGAACAAAAUGACAAUCAAUCUCGAUGUGUUUAGUCCUCUCGUGAAAUACUGGAUUGGAGGCAAUGUAGAUAGCUGCUUGAUUAUCACACCACAACUUAGUAGGUACCGAAUUUGUGAACCCAACUUCUUCCAAUAGUUGACGUACCCACAAGACUUCACAAACGGCUUGUGCCAUGGCUCGAUAUUCAGAUUCAACACUAGAAUGAGAGACUAUAUUUUACUUCUUACUUUUCCAUGAGACCAAGUUACCUUCCACAAAUACACAAUACCCAGUAGUUGACCUCCUAUUAACUUUCGAGCCUGUCCAAUCAGCAUCAGAAAAGCAUUCAAUAUUUGAGUGCUCAUGGUUAUCAUAGAAUAGGCCUCGCCUUGGAGCCCUUUUAAGGUAACAAAGAAUCUGUCCCAAAGUGACGCGGAACCUUAUGGCACAAGCCUCAAACCCACAUGCACAAAUAGAUAUGGAAUCCAAAGAUUUGAUAAACCCACCUCCUAUGGCAUCCCACACUUAGAUAAGCUGAAACACCAAUGAUUGAAGGAUUUAGAUAAGAAUCCGACAAACGCCACAACGAAUAGUUGAUAAGUUUGCCAAGAUUCUUGGUGCAAUUGAUGAAAGUAAAUCCUCACUCUCACUCAAAACAAUACACGCCAAAGGCAUGAAAAUAAUUCUGAAAAUUUAGAUUCAAAGCUGCCUCUUACAAGUGUUUCUUAUCCUUAUAUACUAAGGAGAGAAAAUAAAACUCUAAGACACUCUUUUUAGAUUUGACCAAACUACACACAAGACCUAAGUCCAAUCACACGCUAAAAUAACACAUCAAAUACAUAAGUGUAAAAACAUAAGCCCAAAACAUGGCCUAAUACUCUAAAACUUAAAAGAUAAAAUAUGGUCAGAAUACAAGUCCAAACAAAGCUAAAAUAAAACAAGUGUUUAAAUAAUAAAACAAAGUAAGCCCAUCAUAACAAAACUGAAUUUUCACAAAAGCCUUUCUUGAUCUUCACUUUAGGCUUCCCUUUGUGUAGUUUUAGCCCAUAGGUUUGAUUAGGCUCCCUAAGCCUAUGCUUGCAAGGGUUGCACCAAAUCUGCUCCAUAUGAGUUGAAGCACGCCCCAAAUAUAUAUGGAUCAUAUGAAUAUGAUUUUGAACUCCUUUUAGAUCCAUUUGAAUGACAUAAGUUUGCCCUACACCAUUGUUAGAAAUUUGUCCUAUUAGAUCCGUAUCAUUCUUCUUUAGAAAAGAUUCGUCCUCGAAUCUUGCUGAUAUUUAUGUCAAGAAGGGAAGUUUUAGGAACCCAUGUAUAUUCAAAGACCUCCUCUUGAAUAGGUGGAAAUCGCAUAAAACUUUCCUUAUAGAUGUUUUCAUCAACAACCUGCACAUCAAGAACAAAUGAACCAGUCAUAGAAAGAUCCUGUGGAUGUGACACAUUCUCCUCUACAACUUCCAAAACAGUCUCAUUCGCCUCCUCCACCUCAUCAAUCACGUGCUCCCUAUGUCCACCAUCAUUCACAACCUCUUCUAUAAGCUCAUUGAUGGAAUUUUCAACAACUACAUUAGAUUCAUGCAUUACAAAUUCCUCUUCAAUUUCAAUCUCUAUGGAAGUUGAGAUUGGAACUUUAGCCUCUUCUUUCUCCUUUUCUUUCUCCAUCUUCCCUCCUUGAUCUAGUGUUGAUUCCUUUCCAGCCUCUUUACCUUCAGACUCACUCUUUUCUCUCAUUUUUUCUGCAGAACUCAAGCUCUCACUCUCCUUUGUAGCCAAGGCCGAAGCCUCCCUCUCCCUCUCCAGCAUCUUUAUUUGAUCAGCAUAUACCUCUUGAGGUGAUAAAGGAGCGAGUAUAACCUUCUGUCCUUCAUGAGUGAAGGAGUACACUUUAUUGAACCCAUCAUGUUGCACCUUUCUAUCAUAUUGCCACGGCCUACCCAACAACAUAUGACUUGCCUGCAUAGGUACCACAUCACACAAGAUCUCAUCCUUGUACCUACCAAUAGAAAAUGGUAUAGCCACCUGGCUUGUAACCCUAACCUCACCACAAUCGUUCAACCAUUGCAAUCUGUAUGGCUUAGGUAUUUAAUAGAAGCCAAGCUCAAUUUCUCCACCAUAUACACACUAGCCACAUUUGUGCAACUACCUCCAUCAAUAAUGAGAGUACAAACUUUUCCAUUAACCAAACACCUAGUGUGAAAUAUGUUUUCUCGUUGUUCAAAGCUUUCUUCCUUAACCUGCAUAUUCAGAGCACGCCUAGCAACAAGCAUCUCACCAUGUUCAGCAAGCAACGUAUUAUCAACAAACACAUCCGAAUCAUCACAGUUAUUAUUGCAAUUAAGAGUUCUUUGAGAUAUUCUUGUAGAAGAGGAAGCUUGUGAGACAUUCAAACUCUCCAUAGUUUCAGUCAACCUCUCAAGAGUCUUAUAAAAUCUUCUAAACUCACCACUAACUGACUUUUUGAAGAGCUUAUAAUCACUAGCUAUGUCGCAUUCACUUUCAUCAUCUCGAUCCACCACAUUUUUAUAUUUACUCAUCCUGCCUUAAAUCAAUAAAGAACAAAGAGAACUAGCAAAUAUGGUGUUAGAAAUAAAAGCACUCAAGUGUUUGCACUCUUACCAAUUUUUUGCUGAUUCUUCAAUUGCACUUCAGAAACUAAGGUCAACCAACCAAUCACAAGGUGUGAUUAAUGAAACAAAGAAGAAAACCUAAAAAAAGCAGGAAGCGCGUAAAAACUAAAAAGAAGACACUGACAAUUUGGAAAGUAACACAAGAACUAUGUUUUGUGCUACGUGAAAAAUAUCACCUAGAGUAUAGACACAAGCAAACAAUACGCCAGCAAUGUCAAGGAAGUAAAAGCAAGCUUAAACCAAAAAAAGAAACUUAGAAUUCAAAUAAAAACGAAUCUGGACAAAAGUUUAAAUUUAAUUCACUUCAAUGCAAAUUAAAUAUGGAUCUAUUUAAAUCUAUCCAAAAAGGCAAGUAUCAAAACCUCACAAAUAGAAUUAGAAAAAAAAAAUUUAGAUUUCACUCAAUUCAACAUCAUGGACGAAAAUGCUGGUGUUAAAAGAAGGAUUUGACAUCAAAUCAAUUUAGAUGCAAUUGCCUUAAAUGUGACUUUAGGAAAUAGGCAGAAUUUCUUUUGUCUCCUAAUCUGGAUUCAACCCAAUUCAAAAUUGAUUCCCAUAAAUUACAGCAAUCAAUUGAGAUAGGUAAGGCAAUAUAGAUGAAAAAGGAAGCAUAUCACAAUUUCGGCCAGAUCAAGAUAAGUAAGGCAAAGGCGAUUUUUUAUUUAUUUAUUUUUUUAUGGAUUUCGAUUUUUUUUGUGAUGAUUAAUAAUCAAGAAGGUGCAGCCAUGGACACUCAAGCUUUCACUGAAAUCAACAACGAAGAAAAGGAAAACUAAAAAAAAAAAUCCUAGAUCCUAAGAUAAAUAAGAAUUUACCUCACUUUGGCUCUGAUACCAACUGACGCGGAACCCUAUGGCACAAGCCUCAAACCCACACGCACAAGUAGAUAUGGAAUCCAAAGAUUUGAUAAACCCACCUCCUAUGGCUUGCCAACUAAUCUUCUAUACCUUUCAGGAUCUGCAAAUGGCUCACUGUCUUCUGUGGUAAGUUGAAGGUUAGGGGUCAUUGGGGCACUACAAGGCUUAGCACCCAAUUUUCCUGUUUCUGCUAACAAAUUAAGAACAUAUUUUCUUUGAGAUAAGAAGAUGUCUUUCUUACACUGCAUAACUUAGAUUCCCAAGAAAUAUUUCAAUGAACCUAAAGCCUUUGUAUGAAACUAUGUUUUAAGAAAUUCUUUUAGGGAUGUGAUGCCAGCAAUGUCACUUCCUGUGAUAACGAUAUCAUCCACAUAUACUACAAGCAGAAUUACUCGACUAUCAGAGUUUCUAUAAAGAGUGAUCACACUUACUCAUCUUCAUUCCAAACUGUUGGACCACCUCUCUAAACCUGCCAAACCAUGCUCGAGGACUCUGUUUCAAGCCAUAAAGGGAUUUUUGAAGUCUACAAACCUUGCCUGACUCCCCUGAGCAACAAAACCAGGUGGUUGCUCAAUAUAAACCUCCUUCUGAGGAUCACCAUGAAGAAAAGCAUUUUUAAUAUCCAGUUGUUGUAAAGGCCAAUCAUGUGUAGCUGCCAAGGAAAUAAACAAUCGAACAGAUGCGAGCUUGGCAACUGGGGAAAAUGUAUCAGAAUAGUCAACUCCAUAAGUUUGUGCAUAACCUUUGGCCACUAAAUGGGCCUUGAGGCGAGCAACAGAUCCAUCAGAAUUUACUUUAACUGCAAACACCCAUUUGUACCUAAUAUUCCGCUUUCCUGGGGACAAGGACAUUAACUCCCAAGUACCAUUAGUGUCAAGGGCCAUCAUUUCCUCUUCCAUUGCAGCACGACAACCAGUAUGGGACAAAGCCUCAAUAGCAGUUUUGGGAACUGAAAUAGAAUCUAAAGCAGUAGCAAAACAACGAGAAGAAGGGGAUAAUUGAUCAUAAGAGACACAAGCUGAAAUAGGAUAAGUGCAAGUAUGUUUACCUUUGCGAAGAGCAAUGGGCAAAUCCAAAUCAGACAGUGAAGGAUCAGUGGGAGUAGGAUUUGUCGACGAAGAAGCGGGUAGCGGAGCGAAGUCAAAGUCCUCUAAGCGACUGGAAUAUUUAUGAAAGAUGGGAGGGCGACCUGACACAUGAGCGAAAGGUGUAGGAGUAGUAUGAGGAGACAGAGAGCGAACAAUGUAUAACAAGAGGUCAUCUUCCUCCCUCUGGGUGUUAUAAACAGAUGAUGGCGGGAAAAACGGAGUGGACUCAAAGAAUGUUACAUCCGUAGACACAAGAUACCGAUUCAGAUCAGGAAAAAAAAAGAUACUCUUUCUGACGUCGAGAGUAGCUAAGGAAGACACAUUUGAGUGAUUUGGGAUCCAAUUUAGUAACCUGUGAACGAAUAUCACGAACAAAACAAGUACACCCAAAGAUACGUGGCUCAAUAGGAAACAAAGAUUUAGUGGGAAACAAAAUGUUAUAAGGGAUAUCACCAUGAAGGAUGGAGGAAGGCAUGCGAUUGAUCAAAAAACAAGCAGUGAUACAGCAUCAGUCCAAAAACAUUUAGGUACUUUCAUUUGGAAUAAGAGGGCUCUAGCUACUUUAAGAAGAUGUCGAUUUUUUCUUUCGGCAACUCCAUUUUGUGAAGGAGUGUCAACACAAGAGGACUGAUGAAGAAUCCCUUUUUGUAACAAAUAAGAUUGAAAUUCCCCAGAGAGAUACUUUUUAGCAUUAUCACUUUGCAAUAUACGAAUGAGAAUAUUGAAUUGGGUUUGGAUUUCAGCAUAAAAUGCACAAAAGAUGGAAAAUAAUUUUGAACGACUCUUCAUUAAAAAUAACUAAGUAGUACGAGAGUAAUCAUCAACAAAAGUAACAAAGUACUUAAAGCCAGAUUUAGGCACAGUAGGACAAGGACCCCAAACAUCUGAAUGUACUAACUCAAAGGGGACGAAGCCCGUUUAUUGACUCGAGACACUGAAGGUAAACGAUGAUGUUUGGCAAAUUGACAAGACUCACAAUCUAAAACAGACAAAGAAUGAAACUGUGGAUAUAACAUCUUCAAAGCCGAGAGAGAAGGAUGCUCCAAACGACAAUGAACAUCAAAAGGUGUUAAACGCGUGGAACAUGCAAGAGAUCUAGGUAGUUGCUAAUCCAAGACAUAGAGACCCUCUGACUCACGCCCUCUACCAAUAAUUUGCUUCAUCAAAAGAUCCUGAAAAAUACAGUGAUCAGGAAAGAAUGAGACGCAACAAUUCAAUGUAUGAGUGAGUUUACUAACAGAAAGCAAAUUAAACACGAACUUAGGGAGACAUAACACAGAGGAUACAGAAAGAGAAGGGGUUAAGUUGACAUGACCAGAACCCAUAACAAAAGAUUUAGUACAUCAGCAAGAGUAACAUAAGAAGCCGAUGUAUGAGACUCAAGAUUGGACAAAAGGGUAGAAUUACCUGACAUAUGAUCGGUAGCACCAGAAUCAAUAACCUUAGAGGAUGAAGACACAAGACAUGCAGUAGAGUUACUUGACUCCGCAAUUGCAGUUGUUGAGAUUAUUUCUGUAUAUUGAGAUUAUUUUUGUAAAUAGCCUACAUUUGUAGUCAUAAUUAGGGAUAUGAUUGUGUGAUAUGAUUGGAAUAUGAUUAGGCUAUAAUUAGGGAAUUAAUUUAUUUUCUUACCUAGUAUGUACUCUUGUAAGUCAAGUAGUAUAUAUACCCCAAUUGGCUUGAUGUGAAUAAUCAAGUAUUUUCUCUCAAAUCUUCUACUCUCUUUUUCUUCUUUUCAUCAAAGUUUCAUGGUAUCGAGCCAAGAAAUUUGGUUCACCUUUGAGUGGCAGAUCUGCCACCUUACUUUGGUAACUUUCUGGAAAUCAGUUAGUCUCACCACUCAGCCGAUUCCCUAAGCCAGUCUCCGAUCUAUUUUUCGGCGAAGCACCGCCUCCAGACGCGCCUCCACGCGCCACCCUGCACAGCUUUCUUCCGGCCACGCACCGACGCUUGCACCAUUUUCUGGCGAGUUUUUCACGCCGGCGAUUCUUCUCCUAGCUUCGCCCAGCGCCGGCGACCACAGCCCAGUAGGUCCGGUCGUCAGAUCAGCUUGCCUUCACAUGUCCGUCAUCCACGCGCGGACGCAUGCACAUCCUCCGGCGACCGUUUCACACCGGCGACUCUUCCUCCAGCAUUGCCCGACGUCGGCGACCCCAGCCCAGUAGGUCCGGUCGUCAAAUUUACUGUUCACAGGCGUUUUUUUUGUGCAUAUUCGGCUCCUUUGUGCAGAUUCGGGUCCCUACUUGGUCCCUUGUUGUUUCAGAAUCUCUCUCGACAUGUCUGAGAAGCAAAACACCCUCAAUACAGGUUCCGAGUCUUUUAAACCUGUCGUUUCAAUUGCUACGAUUAAGUUGCAAGGGAAUAAUAAUUAUGUGUCUUGGGCUGCAUCCGUAGAAUUAUGGUUUGUAGGACAGGGGUAUGAUGAUCAUUUAACAAAAAAUGUCACUGAUAUCACUGUCACUGAUAGACCCAACUGGGUUAAGAUUGAUGCUCAACUAUGUAGUCUUUUAUGGCAUUCGUUAGAUCCAAAAUUGCUUGCUUUGUUUCAAUCUUGCAAAACUUGUUGUAAGGAUUGGACUGAGGCCAAAACAUUGUAUACUAAUGAUAUACAACGCAUCUAUAAGGUUGUGUCAGAUAUGGUUCACUUACAACAAAAUCAUCAGGAUAUGGCUAGUUACUUGGGUCAAGUAGAAACUCUGAAAGAUGAAUUUAAUUCUCUUAUGCCCCUUACUAAUGAUGUUGAUGCGCAAGAAGGACAACGUGAUAAAUUUUUUAUGGUUUUGGCAUUAAUUGGAUUGCAAUCUGACCUUUGCUCUGUGAAAGAUCAAAUUUUGACUGGUUUAGUUAUUCCAACUUUAGAAGAUGUGUCAGCUAGGCUCUUACAUAUUUCCCUUAGUAAGAGUGAUGCUACAGAUAUGGAAUCCUCAGUUUUGGCUGUACAAGGAAAUCAAGGACAAGGAGGCAAUCGCAAAGGUAAAGGAAAUAAAUUUCAUUGCUCCUAUUGUGAUAAAAAAGGUCACACACGGGAUGCAUGUUGGGCACUACAUGGCCGACCACCACUAUCCAAUCAAUCUGAUAAUACUGGCAAGCCGGCAGCCCAUCUUGCCCAAUCUAAUGAAAAAGGUCUGCUUCCACAACCUACCAAUAAAUCUCAGGACCUAAAUUCAAUUACUUUAAUUGGAGAGGACUAUAAAGAAUACUUGCAGUUCCAAGCAGCUAAGCAACAUCCUCCAUCUACCAGCAUUGCUCACUCCGGUGAUUCCUUUGCUUGUCUAAUUAAGUCUUCACCUGUUGGUCCAUGGAUCUUAGACUCUGGCGCUUCUGAUCGCAUCUCUGAUAAUCACAAUCUUUUAUCUACUCUUGUUUCACCUUCUACACCAUCUAAAGUCACCUUAGUUAAUGGUUCACAAACUCAAGUUAAAGGAAUAGGAGAUGUAUAACUUCUUUCUUCUAUUUCCUUAACUAUUGUCUUGUUCACUCCUGAAUGUCCAUAUAAUUUAAUCUCCAUUAGCAAAUUGAUGAAAAAUCUUAAUUGUUCAGUAACAUUUACUGCUGAUUCUGUUGUUGUGCAGGACCGGAGUACUGGGAGAAUGAUUGGAACAGGAUCUGAGUCACAAGGAUUGUACCACCUUUCCACCUCUUCAGUUGCUUUUGUUUCUACCACGUCCGCUGAGCUUAUUCAUAACCGUUUGGGACAUCCUAGUCUUCUCAAAUUGCAGAAAAUUGUCCACAGUCUUUCUUCUUUGUCUUCUUUAUCAUGUGAGUCAUGUCAACUUGGGAAACAAACUCGGGCUUCAUUUCCCAAGCGAGUCAAUAACAGGGGCACUUCGAUGUUUGAUAUUGUUCAUUCAGAUAUUUGGGGUCCAAGUCGUGUCAGUACAACUUUGGGAUUUCAGUAUUUUAUUACUUUUAUUGAUGAUUAUUCUCGUUGCACUUCGUUGUUUUUAAUGAAGAAUCGCUCUAAUUUAUUCUCCAUUUUUCAAAAAUUUUGUGCUGAGAUACAUAAUCAAUUUGGUGUUCGCAUUAAGGUUUUGCGUAGUGAUAAUGCACGAGAAUAUCUUUUCUCCUCUUUUUCUCAUUUCUUGUCUACUCAGGGUAUUACUCACCAGACUUCUUGUGCCCAUACUCAACAAAAUGGUGUUGCCGAGCGCAAAAAUCGGCAUUUGAUUGAAACCACCCGCACCUUACUCAUGCAUCAUAAUGUUCCGCUGCGUUUUUGGAGCGAGGUGGUCCUUACUUCCUACUACUUGAUCAACUGUAUGCCUUCCUCUGUUUGCAGCAUCAGAGUCCUUAUUCGGUUCUCUUUCCUAACCAGACCUCCAACCAGUUGUCACUGCGAGUUUUUGGAUGUAUAUGUUUUGUUCAUGAUCAUACCCCUGGUAAAGACAAACUCCAGCCCAAAUCAGUUAAAUGCAUCUUUCUUGGCUAUUCUCUGCUUUAAAAAGGUUACAAAUGCUAUGAUCCCACUACUAACAGAUAUUUUGUCUCUGCAGAUGUCACCUUUUUUGAAACCUCCCCUUACUUUUCUUCUAGUCCAAUGCAUAAAACCUUUGUUCCUAGCGCUUUGCCUGUACCUACACCUCUUAUAUCUCCUUGGCCUCAUGUCAGUCCACCCCUUCAGGUCUACACCCGUCGACCCUAUCCAUCUGCUACUGAUGCAGGUACUUCUAGUGACUCACCUCCAGUUCCAUCAUCACCUCCUUCGGUCAUGUCUUCAGUAGCAACAGCUACUCCUCUUGCUCUCCGAAAAUGUAUUCGCUCUUCUUGCAAUCCUCAUCCCAUUUAUAAUUUUGUGAGUUAUCAUCGUUUGUCUCCUUUCUAUUAUACUUUUGUUUCCACUAUGUCUGCUAUUUCUAUAUCCAAGACAGUUAGAGAAGUAUUGGAUCAUCCUGGUUGGUGUAAUGCAAUAGUUGAAGAGAUGACUACUCUUCAUAAUAAUGGAACUUGGGAACUGGUCUCUUUACCACUUGGCAAGUCUACUGUUGGUUGUCGAUGGGUUUACACAGUUAAGGUGGGACCUGAUGGCAAAAUUGAUCGCCUUAAAGCUCACUUUGUAGCUAAGGGUUACACACAUAUUUAUGGGCUUGAUUACAGUGAUACUUUCUUUCCAGUAGCCAAAAUUGCUUCUAUUCGCCUCCUUAUCUCACUGGCUGCAAUUAAUCACUGGGCCCUUCAUCAACUGGACAUUAAAAAUGCAUUUCUUCAUGGAGAACUCGCCGAAGAAGUCUGUAUGGAGCAACCUCCGGGGUUUGUUGCUCAGGGGAAGUCAGGCUUAGUAUGUCGUUUUCGACGCUCAUUGUAUGGUCUAAAACAGUCUCCAAGAGCAUGGUUCAGAUGAUUCAACAAUGUAGUUCAAUAGUUUGGAAUGUCUCGAAGUGAUUCUGAUCAUCCCGUAUUUUUUCGACAUAAUGGCAAUAGAUGCAUCUACUUGGUGGUCUAUGUUGAUGAUAUUGUCAUUACAGGAAAUGAUCAUGAUGAAAUCUUUUAGCUUAAGCAACAUUUGUUCAGUCAUUUCCAAACUAAAGACCUUAGAAAACUGAAGUAUUUCUUAGGGAUUGAAGUGGCACAGUCUAAAAUAGGUAUCGCAAUUUCUCAACGAAAAUAUGCUUUGGACAUAUUGGAAGAAACAGGCAUGUUAGACUGUAGACUAGAUUUCUCAAGCUGCCCUCCAUUUUUUCUAUAUAUGAGAUUAUUUCUGUAAAUAGCCUAGAUUUGUAGUGAUAAUUAGGGAUAUGAUUGUGUGAUAUGAUUGGGAUAUGAUUAGGCUAUAAUUAGGGAAUUAAUUUAUUUUCUUAACUAGUAUGUACUCUUGUAAGUAGUAUACCCCAAUUGGCUUGAUAGGAAUAAUCAAGUAUUUUCUCUCAAAUCUUCUACACUCUUUUUCUUCUUUUCAUCAAGUUUCAGCAGUGAUAGAGGAAGAAUUAGAGGAUUUCAGAGAUGCCUGGUAUUGGGUGAAUUGUGCAUACUCAUCUGCAAAUAUCAAAAUCCCUUGAUCUGAAGGGGCCUCAACUGCCAUAUACGCCAUUUGUGUGCACUGAUUCUUAUUCUGUAGUUUUUUGACAUGUCUUCUUGGUAUGUCCAGGUUCGCGGCAGUAAUAACAAAUGAUUCCUCCUGAGUCAGAAGUAGAACCUAUUUCCCCAGAACGCUGAGAUCCUUUACCACCAUUAAAACCUCCAUUUUGCCCCCCUCUGUUAUUCUGUCUGCCACUGUCAUUGCGGCUAACAAGGGCACUAGUGGGGUGUGAAGGAAUUAGAGAUUUUGUACGCAAUACCCUAGUGAACACAUCAUGUAAUAAUGAUAUUUCAGAGUCAAAAAGAAUCUGAGAUUUAGCUGUCUCAAACUCUGGAGGGAGACCUACAAGAAAGCUCAUAAUAGCCAUUUGCUCUCGUUGAACUUGUUGAGUUUUCACAUCUGUACUAAAGGGCAUCAAUACAUUAAGUUCUUCAUAAAUUCUUUUAAAAUCCAUGAAAUAGGAUGUCAAAGUUCUAUCAUUUUUCUCGACUCAGUAAAACGCCUUACACACAUCAUAAAUACGGAAAAUAUUCCCUUUGCCAGAAUAUAGAAAUUCCAAAUACUCCAUUAAUUCUUUAACAAAUUCAUAGUGAUUAAUAAGACUAAUCACCUCACUAUGAAUAGAAUUUCGAAUCUGCAGAAACAAACGAGCAUCAUCCCUCAUCCAAUCUCUAUGAGUUUCAUCAGUUGGAGGAUCCUUGGUAAGAUGAUCAUCCCUUUCAAUACUUCAUAAAUAAAUACGGAUAGUCUUACUCCAAUCUAAAAAACUAGAUCCAUUUAAUUUGUGUUCCUUGAUUUUAGUCAUCACACGAAUCACAUCAGUUAAGGUGGUUUUAACUUCAGCCAUAAGGACAACCAACCCAAAAAAUCAAAAUAAACAAAGGAUUAGAAGAAUAGUACCCGUGAACAGUACCAGAUGAACAGUACCCGAUAAACAGUACCAAAAACACUUCCACCCAACACCCGAAUGGCAUACAAACCUCAGAUAUGACAAGGGGACGGUGUGGUGACUCCGGCGAUGGUAAGAUCCAAAUGUUACCCUUUAUGGAUAACUCAAAUUAACAGAGCCCUAAGUCUCCAAAAAAAAUUUUAAAAGUUGACGAGAGAGACAAAAAAAAAUCUCUACGAGAAUGACUCUGAUACUAUGUUGAAGGAUAAUAUUUGUUGUAUUUCACAAUAGAUAUUACAACCUAUUUAUACAUGAGAGACGAUAUCUAAACAGGAAGGAAAAUUAAGCCUAUGAUUAUACAAUCCUAAGAUUAAGCAACUGACCAUCUAUCAAUAUUUACUUUCUAUAUUAACAUAUGAGAAAAAGAGAGAGAGAGAGAGAGAGACAGAUUUGAGAGAAGAGUUUGUGAUUGAUUAUUCUUGAAUGAAUCUGUAGCUGAUCUCUAGCUGGCAUUUAUACAUCUCUAACUGCUUCAGUAACAGAGUAGUUACUGGUAGUUACAACUGCUUACAACAGAAUUAUUCCUUCUAUUCCUGCCUAUACCAACUUCUAGAACUGAGGAUCUCUAUUCUUCUUCUCUCUGCGUAGUAUGUGUCAUACUGCUGCAAGGGCUUGCUAACAUUGUCUCAACUUCUUGCUGCAGAAUAAGUACCUUCUCCUUGUGAAUGUUCAUACUUUGUUGACAAGUUAUUUUCUUUUGUACAGUAAACUUACUUGUACAUGCUAUAGAUGAUUCUUUUUCUUGUACUACUGGGGGUUUUCAUUUAUAAAAUCUAGCAGUUCCUUCGGAAAUUUAGAUGUUAUAUGAAUUGUAUGUUCAUCAUAGUCAUGUUCAUGUGUAGUUUAUUAUGCUUCGUUCUUAUUACUCAGAACUUGUGCAAGUUUAAUUAUGUUCAAAUUUCAGCACCUUAUUUGGCAUGUUUUAACAUUUUUUUUUGGGUUUCAGUUUUGGAUUAAGCUAGUUCUUUCUUACAAAUGAUGCAUAUUUUGCGCUUCAGGUGCUUCUUGGGGAUGUUGGUGCUGGAAAGUCUAGUCUUGUGUUGCGUUUUGUGAAAGGACAGUUUGUUGAAUUUCAGGUUGGUGCAAUUAUCGACUUGGCAGAGGGUGGUUGUUGGUGGCAGGGUGGAUGGGUUACAAUAUUGUUAAUGAAGAUUAUUUAGAACUUGACUAUUGUUUUGUGAUAUUAGGAAUCAACCAUAGGUGCUGCCUUUUUUUCACAAACAUUAGCAGUGAAUGAUGCAACUGUAAAAUUUGAGAUUUGGGACACAGCAGGUCAGGAGAGGUAUCAUAGCUUGGCUCCAAUGUACUAUAGGGGAGCUGCUGCAGCAAUUAUUGUGUAUGAUAUGUCAAAUCAGGUAAGAUAUUCCUUCUUUGCAACAGAGGUUUAUAAAAUGGUGGUUAUAAUUAACUUUUUAUAAAUGUAAAUGAGCCAAGCAUGAGCUCAUUAGGACACAAAAUUAAUGAUAUGAAAAUUUUAAAUUCUAAAUAAUCCAAUGUCCUAAUAUUGAACACGCUUGGAAUUAUAGACCAAGAGAAGCCUGUGUGGUGUAGGGGAAGGUGCAUCUUCUUUAUAGAGAAGCCAACUCCUCCCCUACUCAUCACUCCCUUGCUCAUCAUUAUUCAGUGUGGAGUUCCGGUUCUUCCACCAUACGUACCACGUGAUAAAGCCUUUUUCUUUCAACAAAUAAACAUGAAGGCUAAUGGCUCAAUAGUAUAAAUGCAUGUUUGUGCUUUUAAUGGGCCAUCUUCAAUUCCAUUAAGCUCAAUUUUCUUAUUUUUCCUUUUUAUUUUCUUCUUUUUUUAUCCUUCUUGUUUCUUCCUCUUCUUUUAUUCUUUUUCCAACUUUCUUUUUUAAUUCAAUGGAGGUGUAUUAGAUAGAUAAUAACUUAUAGGCUACAGAAAAAAAAUAUUCAUCUCCCUUUCUCACCAUAAAUAUGAAUAAUUUUAGAAUAGGUAGAUAAGGAGAUUUCAAGUCGAGGCCUUAUUUGCUUUCUAUAACUUGAAAAUGAAGGAAGACUGACUAGGCUACCGUUUGAUUAGCUUUUCUGCUCCUAUCUUUUAUCCUUUUAUAUUUUCUUUUGGUUUCUUUAUUACAUAUAUCAUCUACAAAUCCUAUGCUUUAAUUAAGAUGCAGAAAAGGGAAUCCAACCUCAAGACAAUUGAGAGUAUAUUGCAUAAAAGAAAGUAGAGAAUUAAAAGGGAAUAGAAAAAGAAGAUUCUAGUAACAUACAAGGACAUUAGCUGGUAGAGUAGUUUUUCUGUUAGAGUGAUUUAAGGAGGCCUUGCCAUAUGAAGAUGCUAACAAAAUAGAGCUAGAGACUUUUAUAAAGGGGAGCAUGCUUAACAAAGGAGGUGUAGAAUAUUUCAUUUUAAUUUGCAGCUGCGUAGCUGGGGCUAGCUUGCUAGUUCGGGAGACCAUUCUCCUGGGAUUUAUUGCUCUUAUGUCUUGUAUUUCUUUUAGAAAUUUGGGGAGAAAUCAAAAUCUAUAGGUUCCCAUUAUCUUGCAAGGCAUUUCUGCCAUUGUUUACUCAAUACAACAUUAUAUUUCUCCAAUAUUCUUUUCAAUUCAUCUUUCUCUUGUUCCUAACUCCAUCAAAUGGUCAGAUCUGCCGAAUCCCCAAAUUCACAAUACAACUUUUGGGAUGAAGAUGGAGAGGAACAUGGAAACGCGGCAAGAGUACUGGGUUAACUUCCAUCAAGAGCAGGAAGAAAAUUUUAAUAGGAUUGAAGAAUUACUCAUCGAGUUGUUAAGGAAAGAGGUGACGGCUGGGACCGAUGAAGAUCUAAAAUUUCUUUAUCAACAUAAAUGUGAGUCUGGAAUUUUUCACAUAGACAUUCCUAGUCAAUUCCUAAAAGAUGUCCCAAGAAUGGUGGAAAUACCCAUUUUACUAGAGAUGACCCGCAACAUUGGAUUGAGCAAGCCGAGCGAUACUGAUAUAGUAAAGAAUGACAGAGAACAAAAACACUAUAAAACGAGAUAGAAAACUCAGUUGUAUUAGAUCAACAAGAGAAACUACGCAAACAUUCUCUCACAAUAAUCUCAUUACUGUAAGAAUUAGUUCCAGCUAAGUAUUAGUUACUAAAGGGAAAUAAGAAAAACUAGAAGAGAAUUUGGUAAAGAAAUGACUGAAUACUCAGCCCCAAGGAGCAAGUUCUCCAGUGCAGAAAAGAUCACUCUGCCCUCUAUAUUUUGGAGAAACCACCAUCACUAGCAAAAGGUGUCCUUUUCUCUGUCCCUUUCCUCCCUUAAAUGUUGGGCAAGAAUCUUCCACCAUAACUAAUUCCUGCCAUGUGUCAUAUUCCCAUUUUGUUAGAGUAUUCUUCUUGGGAUUCCUCUUGAAAUUCAGCCAGUUGUGAUUCUCCCUGCAUAGCAGCCAACUGUUAUUUUUGUUUCUUCUUUUUUCUAUAAUACACCUUAUACCCUCUUGAGACUAGACCUUCUCUCUUAUCAUUACUCUCCUGUUGGAGUUCAGCCUUGUCCUCAAGGCUGAAGUAAGGAAAUUGGCCCCGAAAAUCUAAAAGGUUCAUCCAUGUAGUGACGUGGAACCCUAUGGCACAAGCCUCAAACCCACACGCACAAGUAGAUAUGGAAUCCAAAGAUUUGAUAAAUCCACCUCCUAUGGCACCCCACACUUAGAGAAGUUGAAACACCAAUGAUCGAAGGAUUUAUAUGAGAAUCCGACAAACGCCACAAUGAAUAGUUGAUAAGUUAGCCAAGAUUCUUGGUGCAAUUGAUGAAAGCAAAUCCUCACUCUCAUUCAAAGCAAUACAAGCCAAAGGCAUGAAAAGAAUUCUGAAAAUUUUGAUUCAAAGUUGUUCUUACAAGCGUUUUUUAUCCUUAUAUAAUAAGGAGAGAAAAUAAAACCCUAAGACAUUCCUUUUAGGGCUGGUCGAACCACACACAAGACCCAAGCCCAAUCAUACACUAAAAUAACACAUCAAACACAUAAGUAUUAAAAUAUAAGCCCAAAACAUAACCCAACACUCUAAAAACUUAAAAGAUAAAAUAUGGCUAGAAUACAAGCCCAAACAAAACUAAAAUAAAACAAAUGUUUAAAUAAUAAAAUAUAACAAGCCCAUCAUAACAAUGCCGAAUAAAUUAGACAGCGCUAUCUCCAUUACACACCUUAAGCAAGGUGAGUAGCUUAGGUGUACCUUCAAGUUUCGCGAGACAUUUGCCAAUGGCAAACUCAGUCAAUUCUUGGGUUACUUGUUCUUGAAUGUGUAAGUUCAUAGCUGCUUCAAGCUUCUUAGCUUGGCUCCUUGUCACUGGUCUACUAGGGAGCACCAAUGGAUCCUUGCUUCCUUGAUUCUCAUGUGAUUGUGCUUGUUGGUUCGUAUCAUUCCCUCCUUCCUCAAAAAGAUUUAUCCUCAAAUCUGCAACAUGGUCAAAAGGAGACAAGUCAGACACAUUAAAGGUAGCACUAACCCCAUACUCACUUGGUAAGUCUAUUUUAUAAGCAUUGUCAUUGAUUCGCUCUAAGACUUGAAAUGGACCAUGACCACGAGCAUCCAGCUUAUUCUUCCUCUGAUUUGGAAACUGUUCCUUUCGGAAGUGCACCCAAACCCAAUCACCAGGAACAAACACCACUUUCUUCCAUCCCCUAUUUGCCCUGUCAGCAUACACCUUGUUUCUCUUCUUUAUGUUAGACCGAGCCUUCUUAUGUAAGGACUUCACCAAUUCUGCCUUUUUAGCACCAUCUAAACUAGCAAGCUCAUGUAAAGGUAAAGGAAUGAGAUCAAGUACAGUAAGUGGGUUGACGCGGAACCCUAUGGCACAAGCCUCAAACCCACACGCACAAGUAGAUACGGAAUCCAAAGAUUUGAUAAACCCACCUCCUAUGGCACCCCAAACUUAGAGAAGCUGAAACACCAAUGAUCGAAGGAUUUGGAUGAGAAUCCGACAAACGCCACAACGAAUAGUUGAUAAGUUAGCCAAGAUUUCUGGUGCAAUUGAUGAAAGCAAAUCCUCACUCUCACUCAAAGCAAUACACGCCAAAGGCAUGAAAGAAAUUCUGAAAAGUUUGAUUAAAAGCUGCCUCUUACAAUUGUUUCUUAUCCUUAUAUAGUAAGGAGAAAAACAAAUAAAACCCUAAACACUCUUCUUGGGUCUGACUUAAACACCUAAGGCCCAAGCCCAAUCACACACUAAAAUAACGCAUAAGUAUUAAAACAUAAGCCCAAAACAUGGCCCAACACUCUAAAACUUAAAAGAUAAAAUAUGGCCAGAAUACAAGCCCAAACAAAGCUAAAAUAAAACAAGUGUUAAAUCAUAAAAAUAUAGCAAGCCCAUCAUAUCAAUGCUGAAUAAAUUAGACAGCGCUAUCUCCAUUACACACCUUAAGCAAGGCGAGUAGCUUAGGUGUGUCUUCAAGCUUCACGAGACAUUUGCCAAAGGCAAGCUCAGUCAAUUCUUGUAUUACUUGUUCUUGAAUGUGUAAGUUCAUAGCUGCUUCAAGCUUCUUAGCUUUACUCCUUGUCACUGGUCCACUAGGGAGCACCAAUGGAUCCUUGCUUCCUUGAUUCUUAUGUGAUUGGGUUUGCUGGUUCGUAUCAUGGGUUAAAACCAUAAACAAGCUCAAAUGGAGAAAACCCCGUGGAAGAAUGUAUGCUACGGUUAUAUGCAAAUUCAAUGAAAGGCAAAAAAUCUUCCCAAGUGUUCAAAUUCUUACCCACUAUAGCUCUGAGUAAGGUACCAAGAGUUCUAUUCACCACCUCUGUCUGGCCAUCUGUUUGUGGAUGACAAAUAGUAGAAUAUAAGAGUUUAGUACCCAACUUACCCCACAAUACUUUCCAAAAAUGCGAAAGGUACUUUGCAUCUCUAUCUGACACGAUUGUCCUUGGCACUCCAUGAAGUCGAACCACUUCCCUGAAGAACAAUUCAGCUACAUUGAUGGCGUCAUCAGUUUUAUGGCAAGGAAUAAAGUGAGCCAUCUUGCUAAACCUGUCGACAACAACAAAUAUGCUAUCUCUACCACGCCUAGUCCUAAGUAAGCCAAGCACAAAGUCCAUAGAAAUAUCCAUCCAAGGUGAACUAGGAACAAGUAAAGGCAUAUAAAGACCAUGAGGCAUAGACUUAGACUUUGCCUGUCUACAUGCAAUACAAGAAACGCACACUUUCUCAACAUCUUUGCGCAUAGAAGGCCAAUAAAAAUGCUCAAGUAAGGUGUCAUAAGUCUUAUGUACUCCAAAAUGCCCCAUCAAACCCUCUCAAUAAGAUUCAAGCACAAGCAAAUCACGCAUAGAGCAUCUAGGUGCACACAAUUUCUUACCCUUAAACAAGUAACCAUCAUGCCUAUAAAAAGAGUUAAAAGCUCCACGCUCACAAGCCACAAACAUAUUGCCGAAAUCAGUAUCAUUAAUGUACAAGUCCUUAACAUGCUCAAAACCAAGUAAUUUAGAACUCACAGCAUUAAUUAAAGCAGACCUCCUAGACAAAGCAUCUGCAACCACAUUGUCUUUCCCAUGCUUAUACUUAAUCACAUAUGGAAAUUGUUCAAUAAACUCAACCCACUCACCAUGCCUCUUAUUCAACUUGCCUUGUCCUUUCAAGUGUUUUAAGGAUUCAUGAUCCGUAUGUAUCACAAACUCCUUGGGCAGGAGAUAGUGUUGUCACCCGUCCAGUGCUCUCACCAAGGCAUACAGCUCCUUUUCAUAGGUUGAAUAAUUGAGAUGUGCUCCAUUCAACUUCUCGCUGAAAUAGGCUAUUGGUUUCUUUUCUUGCAUCAACACAGCCUCAAUACCUAUGCCAGAAGCAUCACACUCAAUUUCAAAAGUUUUAUCAAAGUUAGGUAAAGAUAAUAUAGGAGCGGAUGUUAACUUCCCUUUUGAGCAGUCAAAAGCUUUCUGUUGCUCCUCUCCCCACUUGAACCCAACUUCCUUCUUAAUAAUUCCUGUGAGUGGUGCUGCAAUCGUAGAGAAAUCGAGCACAAACCUCCUGUAAAAGCUUGCAAGGCCAUGAAAGCUCCUCACAUCUGAAAUAGAUUUAGGAAUAGGCCACUCCUUUAUAGCUUUCACCUUCUCUUCAUCUACCUCAAUUCUCUGUGCAUUCACAACAAAACCAAGGAAAAAUGUCUAUCUAUACAAAAUGUGCACUUCUUAAGUUUAGCAUACAAGCUCUCUUGCCUCAAAACCUGCGGAACCAACCUAACAUGCUCAAUAUCAAUGAAUUCCUGCAUCAUAGACUUAAAACUAGAAGGCAAAGAAGAAAGGUUAAUAUCAAUGUCAGCAAAUAAAAUCUCCUUAUAUCUUAUAAGCAACACGGGCUGCCCUAAAGAAAUAGCACCCUUAACCUCUCUCGCUCUCACAUAAAAUGUUUGUUUUGCCCUCCCCUCUUACAUCUUUUCUCUCACUAAUGGGCCAUUUAUAGGUCUUGAUUCUUUUCGAGCCUCUUUACCCUUAGACUCACUCUUUUCUCUCAUCUUUUCCGCAGAACUCAAGCUCUCACUCCCCUUUGUAGCCAAGGCCUAAGCCUCCCUCUCCCUCUCCAGCAUCUUUAUUUGAUCAGCAUAUACCUCUUGAGGUGAUAAAGGAGCGAGUAUAACCUUAUGUCCUUCAUGAGUAAAGGAGUACCUGUUAUUGAACCCAUCAUGCUGCACCUUUCUCUCAUAUUGCCACGGUCUACCCAACAACAUAUGGCUUGCCUGCAUAGGUACGACAUCACACAAGUUCUCAUCCUUGUACCUACUAAUAGAAAAUGGUAUAACCACCUGGCAUGUAACCCUAACCUCACCACAAUCAUUCAACUAUUGUAAUCUGUAUGGCUUAGGGUGUUUGAUAGAAGCCAAGCCCAAUUUCUCCACCAUAUACACACUAGCCACAUUUGUGCAACUACCUCCAUCAAUAAUGAGAGUACACACUUUUCCAUUAACUAAACACCUAGUGUGAAAUAUGUUUUCCCGUUGUUCUAGGCUUUCUUCCUUAACCUGGAUAUUUAGAGCACGCCUAGCAACAAGCAUCUCACCAUGUUCAGCAAGCAACACAUUAUCAACAAACACAUUCGAAUCAUCAUAGUCGUUAUGAGCAUCAAUCAAUUCAGUCAUAUUAGCAUAUAUCUCAUCAUCACUAUGAUCAGAAUCAGACACUACACCCCCAUCAACAGUUGCUAUCAUAACUCUCUUAUUAGGACAUUCAGAUGCAAUAUGUCCUUUCCCCAAGCAUUUAAAACAUUUUAUCUCUCUACUAUGGUUAGAAGAGUUAGAAUUUCCUGACUGUUGCUUGUUAUUACCUUGAGAAGGUCCUUUGUUAGUGGAGACCAAAUCUUUGCCCCCUUGGAUUGGGCUUUUGUAAUCUUUCUUUUCUCCACUUCUAUAGCCUGGAAAUCCACCACCACUAUUUGAGAACUUGUAUGUGAUUUUAAGGUUAUUUCUGCCCUUGUGACGCCUUUCUAUUUUCAUUGUUUUAUCAACCAUAUCCUCCAUGGUAUUGUAUUGGUACAUGUCAAGUUCUUCAGCAAUGUAGUGGUUAAGACCACCUAGAAACCUGGACAUCAACAUUUGCUCAUCCUCCUCAAUAUGAGCCCGAGCCAUCAUCAUCUCCAUCUUCUUGUGGUAUUCUUCCACACUCUUUCCUCCUUGCACCAGUCUUGCCAACCUUUUGUACAAAUCCCUAUAAUAGUGCGAGGAAUAAAUCUUUGGCGCAUCAACUCUUUCAAGUAUUCCUAUGGUGGAACUGCCCUUAAGCCCUUAUUCCUCCUAGUGGAUUUCAAUUGAUCCCACUAGAAAGAGGCAUAACCCGUGAACUCAACGGCAGGGAUAUGAGACUUCUUCUCCUCAGUAUAGUUAUGACACUCAAAUAUUUGCUCAGUUUUUCUCUCCCAUUCAAUGUAUUCUUCAGCAUUGUUAUUCCCUUUAAAUUCAGGAACUUUCAUCUUUAUUAAGGGUUACCGUCAAUUGUGUUGGUUUGGUAUGUCUCGGUGUCAUCAUCAUUUCUGCCAAGUCUAGCAUCUCCACCUCUAGUCCACCCAACGCCAGUUCUAUUACCUCCAUGAACUUCUCCUCUUCCCCUUCCUUGUCCGACAUUAUCUUCUGUAUCAUCAACUUCACCUCGGACUUGAGGUUCUCGAACUUGUGGUCUAUCGGGGUUAAGAAUUUGAUGAGCCAUUCUUGUAGAAGUGGAAGCCUGUGAGACUUUCAAACUCUCCAGAGUUUCGGUCAUCCUCUCAAGAGCCUUAUUGAGUCUUUGGAACUCACCACUGACUGACUUCAUAAAGAGUUUAUAAGCGAGACCCAUGUCCGAUUCACUUUCAUCAGUACUAUCCACCACAUUCUUGUCUUUACUCAUCCUACCUUAAAUCAACAAAGAACAAAGAACUAGCAAAUAUUGUGUUAGAAAAGAAAGCACUCAAGUGUUUGCACUCUUACCACUCUUUUGCUGAUUCUUCAAUUGCACUUCAGAAACUAAGGUCAAUCAACCAACCACAAGGUGCAUUUAAUGAAACAAAGAAGAAAAUCUAAAGAAAGUAGGAAACGUGCAAAACUAGAAAGAAGACACUGACAAUUUGGAAAGUAACACAAGAACUAGGUUUUGUGCUACUUGAAAAAUAUCACCUAGAGUAUAGACACAAGUAAACAAUACUCCAGCAAUGUCAAGGAAGUAAAAGCAAGCUUAAACCAAAAAAGGAAACUUAGAAUUCAAAUAAAAACGAACCUUGACAAAAGUUUGAAUUUAAUUCACUUCAAAGUAAAUUAAAUAUAGAUCUAUUUAAAUCUACCCAAAAAGGCAAGUAUCAAGACCGCACAAAUAGAAUCAGAAAAAAAAAUUUUAAUUUCACUCAGAUCAGCAUCAUGGACGAAAAUUCUAGCAUUAAAAGAAGGAUUUGACAUCAAAUCAAUUUAGAUGCAAUUACCUUAAAUGUGCACUUUAGGAAAUAGGCAGAAUUUCUUUUAUCUCCUAAUCUGGAUUCAAUGCAAUUCAAAAUUCAAAAUUGAUUCUCAUAAAUUACAGCCAUCAAUUGAAAUAGUUAAGGCAAUAUAGAUGAAAUAAAAAGUAUAUCACAAUUUCGGCCAGAUCAAGAUAAAUAAGGCAAAGGCGAUUUUUUUGUUUUUUUUUCUCUUUUUUUUUUAUGGAUUUCGAAUUUUUCUUCCAAAAGAGAUUAUGUGAUGAUUGAUAAUCAAGAAGGUACAGCCAUGGACACACAAGUUUUCACCGAAAUCAACAAGAAAGAAAAGGAAAACUCAAAACCCUUAGAUCCUAAGACGAAUUAGAAUUUACCUCACUUUGGCUCUGACACCGACGCGGAACCCUAUGGCACAAGCCUCAAACCCACAAGCAGAUAUGAAAUCCAAAGAUUUGAUAAACCCACCUCCUAUGGCACCCCACACUUAGAGAAGCUGAAACACCAAUGAUCGAAGGAUUUAGAUGAGAAUUCGACAAACGGCACAACGAAUAGUUGAUAAGUUAGCCAAGAUUCUUGGUGCAAUUGAUGAAAGCAAAUCCUCACUCUCACUCAAAGCAACACACGCCAAAGGCAUGAAAAGAAUUCUGAAAAUUUUGAUUCAAAGCUGCUCUAACAAGUGUUUCUUAUCCUUAUAUAGUAAGGAGAGAAAAUAGAACCCUAAGACACUCCUUUUAGGGUUGGUCGAACCACACACAAAACUCAAGCCCAAUCACACACUAAAAUAACACAUCAAACACAUAAGUAUU